This is a long non-coding RNA of Apis dorsata (giant honeybee), 359 nucleotides long. RefSeq lists it as uncharacterized. Lineage: Eukaryota; Metazoa; Arthropoda; Insecta; Hymenoptera; Apidae. The transcript is spliced from 3 exons. The record is from RefSeq and is a predicted model, not a curated record.
ACGACGCACGUAGUAUUUAUAUCGAGACAUUGGCGCGUAUAUUUAUACGGUAUACGUGUGCGUUUGUAUAUUACGCGACGUAAGGACGAGUAGAAUGUUUUGAAUCGAAGGAGAAAGACGCAGUUCGUAUCGAGCCUUCGAAGCGUGUUGUUCUGUGUCUAGUUUAGUGAAAUUAAAUUGUGAAUAUAUUAUAAUUAAUAUGUGCGUAAAAUAUAUAAUUGCAUUUCAUGAAUACGUUUCAUCGUCAUCCCAUAAAUAUGAAGCUUGAUCGAAGAGAUAAUGAGGACGGUGGGGAAACGCCGGGGUUUCCUGCGAUCUUCAACGACACCGCUUGUUCAAUUUGCCGCCUCCCGUAUUAU